CCUACGGGAGGCUCCAGUCGAGAAUCAUUCACAAUGGGGGAAACCCUGAUGGUGCGACGCCGCGUGGGGGAAUGAAGGUCUUCGGAUUGUAAACCCCUGUCAUGUGGGAGCAAAUUAAAAAGAUAGUACCACAAGAGGAAGAGACGGCUAACUCUGUGCCAGCAGCCGCGGUAAUACAGAGGUCUCAAGCGUUGUUCGGAAUCACUGGGCGUAAAGCGUGCGUAGGCUGUUUCGUAAGUCGUGUGUGAAAGGCGCGGGCUCAACCCGCGGACGGCACAUGAUACUGCGAGACUAGAGUAAGGGAGGGGGAACCGGAAUUCUCGGUGUAGCAGUGAAAUGCGUAGAUAUCGAGAGGAACACUCGUGGCGAAGGCGGGUUCCUGGACAUUAACUGACGCUGAGGCACGAAGGCCAGGGGAGCGAAAGGGAUUAGAUACCCCUGUAGUC
This 446-nucleotide ribosomal RNA is filed under the name uncultured bacterium. RNAcentral's name for it is "partial 16S ribosomal RNA". It matches the Rfam family "Bacterial small subunit ribosomal RNA", at positions 338 to 795 of the family's 1533-position model. The record is from RNAcentral.